This 433-nucleotide ribosomal RNA is filed under the name uncultured bacterium. Its description in RNAcentral is "partial 16S ribosomal RNA". It matches the Rfam family "Bacterial small subunit ribosomal RNA", at positions 29 to 507 of the family's 1533-position model. The record is from RNAcentral.
AACGAACGCUGGCGGCAUGCCUAACACAUGCAAGUCGAACGAGACCUUCGGGUCUAGUGGCGCACGGGUGCGUAACGCGUGGGAACCUGCCCUUAGGUUCGGAAUAACUCCCCGAAAGGGGUGCUAAUACCGGAUAAUGUCUUCGGUCCAAAGAUUUAUCGCCUUUGGAUGGGCCCGCGUUGGAUUAGCUAGUUGGUAGGGUAAAAGCCUACCAAGGCGACGAUCCAUAGCUGGUCUGAGAGGAUGAUCAGCCACACUGGGACUGAGACACGGCCCAGACUCCUACGGGAGGCAGCAGUGGGGAAUAUUGGACAAUGGGCGAAAGCCUGAUCCAGCAAUGCCGCGUGAGUGAUGAAGGCCUUAGGGUUGUAAAGCUCUUUUACCCGGGAUGAUAAUGACAGUACCGGGAGAAUAAGCGCCGGCUAACUCCGUG